UACACUCCUAUGAAAAUACAUCCAACCCCCUUCACACAGCAAAGACGGAAGAGGGACACUGGGGAGAGGAAGCCCAGAAUGGCCCGAGGCAGCCCGAUGUGCAGGGGCAGAACACCACUGUGAACUUGUGGCUCUGCCAGUAGCUGGCUCUGUCACUCAGUGUUCUCUGAGCCUCAGUUUCUUUUUUCUAACGCUUAGCUGACGAGGCUCACUGAGAGGAGUGGAGGUGGUAACGUACAUGAGCUGCAAGCAAGUGCACGCUAAGAGCAAGCGCAGUCUUCACACACUGAGACCUGUUCUUCCUGCAUCCUGCACUGCAAGCAAUAACUAAAGAGACAGAGACACCCACCCCAUCAUUCAAGAAGGACUCCAAGCUUCCUUGGCAGCCCUGGGCUGGCAGAGGGGCCCUGCUUCUCAGCCACUCAGCCUCCCAUUUAACUGGUACUCUCGGAGUCAGGAUGAGUGCACCCAGAGAGGAUUGGGUCUGUGACUUUAGGCGCUAUGUCAAGUGUCAAGGGACAAAGAAGACUCACACAGCAGCUCUGGGAAAUAAAAGCCUUUAGUGGUCUCAGGGUAUUCUCUCGCUGCAGACCAAUGGCUGCGAAUGCCUCUGAAGAGGAGCACACCUCAGUCCUAGAAUAACUGUCUGAACAUGAGACCCCGUUCUACCAUCUGUUGACUAUAUAAGCCUGUUAGUAAUAUCUGUAUCAUAACAUUCCUUCAUCUGCAGAGAUGAUCACAGAACCCUACCUUACAGAAUUAUGAUGAAGAUAAAAAAAAAUCAUAUCUAAAACCUACAAGUCAUUUAAGUAUAGUAAAUGUUCAAUAGGUGUUAAAAAUCGCUACUUCUCUAGAUGUACUAGAAAAAUGCACCCACCAAGUAUUCUACACACAUCACCAGGGAGAGACUUGAAUAUUUGUUACUGCUGUGAAAUCAACAAAUCCUCCUUGACACUUAAUGCAGUGCCUGCAUUGAUCCAGGACUUAGAGGAAAUAGAGAAACAGUAUCACUUGACUACACAGGGGAGAAAAAGCGAAUGGAUUAAGGUGAGAAUAUCAGCAUGCACAACUUUAAGAAUCGUGGUCCAGUGCUUCCCGCACAGGAGGCUGGUUGCCCCAGGAACAGGGCAGGAUGGCACAGGAUGUUCAUGAAGCAUGAUUUUUCUUUUAUAAGCUAUUUUCAAUAGAAUUUUAAUUUAACAUCGGCGCAAACAUUCUGAAGGGAAGUUCAAAUUUGCAAUCAUUUUUUAAAGACAAGCAUGAGAUGUCAAAAAAAAAAUUUCCCACAUUGGCUAUGAGACAGAUAAACAGACACAUAUUCUGCACCCCCACACUGAGUCAUUCCUCGCCACGCAGUGGGAAAGUCUGAGAGACAUAUUCUGAACAAGAGCAGACAUUCAAGCACACAGAGCCAAUGAGCUGGAAAGAGCCUCUGGAAGGGUUCCAGGCCUGCAGGUGAAGCCACGGCUGUGCCAGGGAAGCUCAAGCCAAGGCCCCUGCUGAUAUACAGUUCUUUCAUUUACAGACCUAAAGCUGUCGGAGCUCUCCACUGCUGGAUAAAAUUCUGUAUUAUAUAAGGCCUUGAGCACUCAUCCACCAGCCACUGCACUGCACCAACUCACUAACAAUGUUUGGAGGGUCUGAAAGUUUUGGUUUUCCUGGAACACAUGGUAUUUCUUCUCUGAGGAGAGGGGGUUCUCAGGGACCUCAUAGUAUACGCCAAUAUUCUAAAGCUCAAAUGCCCUUCCUAAGGGAUCACACACACACACACACACACACACACACACACACACACACAUCUCAGAAUCCCAUCUCAGUUGUUUUAAGACAGGGGAUACCCACCAUGCAGCUCAGCAGCCUUUUCUUCUCCAAAUCACACAGCCCCAACCUCAUUCAUCAAAUUUCCCAUCUUUAAUCUUUGUGGAGAGUAUCGAAGUUCCAAAGAAAACUGGAAAUUGAUGAGACUGGAUCAGGAACUCGAGUCACUUGAAGAAGGCUGGAACUUAGUUGCUAGCACCCAUGUUGAGCACUCACAUUCACCUCCAACUCCAGGACAUCCAGCAUACUCUUCUAGCCUCCAUGUGCCCCUGCACACAGGAGUAGGUGCAAGCACACACACGCACACGCACAUGCACACACGCACAUGCACGCAUGCUUGUAUGCACAUAAAUUAAAAUAAAUCUUUCAAAAAAGGAAAUUGAAACUAAGCUUUAAUUUUUUUCCCCAGUUAUUUCCCAGCCAUGCACAUUUGAGAGGGGGAAAAAAAAAAUCAUUCAAUUGUUGAAAUGUUCCAGAUCCUUCAUCUUGAGUGUGAAAUCUUUAAAGGGCUGUUAUGUGUCUGAAAUGAAACACCACAUGGAUAAAUACCAAAAGAAGCACCUGUUAAGUAUGAAGCAAAAGAAGCUAUGAAGUAAAGAGGCACCCUCACAAAAUGGAAUGAAGUCCUUGCCUGCUGUACAUUCAACAGAGAACUGAUAUACAGAAUAAGAACUCUUUUUUAAAAAGUAAACAAACAAAAACAAUAAUUGAAAAGUGUACCAGAGUCGUAAACAGAUAUUUUUUAAAAGAAAUACAAAUGGCUAACAAGACUUUAAAAGAUGUUCAACAUCAUUAGCAACAGUUGGGGGAGGGGAGACAAAUUGAAAGAUCCAUGAAGUUCCAUCUCACCCCAGUGACAAUGACUGUCAUCAUGAAAUCAAAUGACAGCAAGUGCUGGAAAGAAUGUGGAGAAACUGGAAACCUCACUGACUGUGAGUGGGAGUGUGAACAGGCACAGCCACGCCGCAGGUCAGUCCGGAGGGUCCUCACAAAGCUAGAAACAGAACUCCAUGAGCCACCACACCUCUCAGAGACAUCUACUCGAAAGGACGGCAUAUCCUACUCGAGACUCUCAGUCAAAUACAGUCAUUGCUUGUCUAUUCACAACAGUCAGGAAAGAAAAGCUGCCUGGAUAUCUGUCAAUAGAUGAAGAGAGAAUGAAAAGGUGAUACAUUUA
This is a long non-coding RNA of Mus pahari (shrew mouse), 2995 nucleotides long. RefSeq lists it as uncharacterized. Lineage: Eukaryota; Metazoa; Chordata; Mammalia; Rodentia; Muridae. The record is from RefSeq and is a predicted model, not a curated record. The transcript is spliced from 3 exons.